UUGAAUUCCCCUGCCUAAGAAGAGAGGAGAACUGUUGAUGUAGUGGGAACCCUCCCUCCUCGAACAUUAACUGGGUUGACCCCACCCCUCUCUUCACAGGCUGUCUUCAGUCCAAUCAAGAUCGGAAAGCAGGAUCAAGAGAAAGAUGAUCAGACCGGAACAGGUAAACGUUCCAUACAGAGAUGCUUCGGAAGUGCGGAGAAGUGAACAGUUUAUCCCCUCUCAGGCCGUCAUGUUGUCUCAGCAGACCCUCUGAAUUACUGAUGUCAGAACUUACUGACUGGGGUACAGCACACAAGCAAUUGGUAGAGUUUUAAGACAUUAAAAGACGGUGAUUUCAG
This is a long non-coding RNA of Mandrillus leucophaeus (drill), 341 nucleotides long. RefSeq lists it as uncharacterized. Lineage: Eukaryota; Metazoa; Chordata; Mammalia; Primates; Cercopithecidae. The record is from RefSeq and is a predicted model, not a curated record. The transcript is spliced from 2 exons.